Molecule: long non-coding RNA, 1114 nt
Filed under: Brassica napus (rape)
Lineage: Eukaryota; Viridiplantae; Streptophyta; Magnoliopsida; Brassicales; Brassicaceae
Description: long non-coding RNA (BNAP_LNC020187)
Source: RNAcentral
GCACCUCGCAAACUAAACAAGCACAUACAAAGUGCUCAUACCAGCGAAGAACCACAAAACUCUGAAUAGAAGAAACCAAAGCUCCAAAACAAACUCUGAAUAGAAGAAACCAAAGCUCCAAAACACUAACUCCACACACCUACACCAAUGAAUGCACGAGAAGAAAAUAAACAACCUGAGUGGGAAAAAAUAGAAGCCAACCACCAAAAAAACCAAAGCUUAAUCUGGAGACCAUAAACAACUUUCCAAUCGUACAAAGCGCACACGGAGAAAAACACUAUCCAAACCUAGAGUAGCAAAUAUGGCGAAAAGAAGAACCACAGGAGACGUGAUCAGCGAUUAAAGGUGUAACGAGAUGAGAGAACAAAGAGAUAAAAAGAGACAAAAUAAAAUCAACAAACCGUGGAGGCAUCCUCGAAAUAUGAAAAAGAAUAUAGAAGUCAGAUCGCCAAAAAGCCGAUCUUGAAAACCAAGAUGAGCAGAGACUAUUGACGGCAAAUCAGCAACGAGGAAAACAACAUCAAUGACAACUAAAAUCUACCUCAACCCAACGAGAUGUAGUUUCUAAUCUUAGCCAAGACCUAAGGAAAAAGGACCAAUAUUGACUGAAAUAACAUAGAACGUUGUAAGAAACAACCGCACAACAUGGAACUAAUAUGUCUGAUCUAUAACAAAUGCAAAAUAAUCUCUCAGAAAAAGAAGAUGAGGAAAAACAAGAGCAUAGAGGUGAAUAUUUUCCCAAUGAUGGUGAGAAGCACUGCACUCGGGAGAGGUAAACGAAAUACAUAGAGGGUGAUGGCUCAAGGUCAAAAGAUGGAGGAGAGUGCAAGAAACACCUAAAAAUAGUAAUUUUCAAAAAUGUGAAAAAUUAAAAUAUAAUUUUGACGCCAUUAAUCAUAGAAUCAACAAAUGCUUAAAGACAAAGUUAUUGAAAUUCAAUAUGUUUUACGUCAGAAACUCACUUCACCACUAAUAAAUAGUAUUAUACAUAUAUAACAACACAUUAUUACAAAGACUAACACUUAAUAUAUUAAUUUAUUACCUACUACUACGUAACAUAAUAAAACAUCAAAUAAUAUUUUUUGCAAAUAAAUACUGAACACAUAAUCACAUC